AAAUUGAAGAGUUUGAUCAUGGCUCAGAUUGAACGCUGGCGGCAGGCCUAACACAUGCAAGUCGAACGGUAACAGAAAGAAGCUUGCUUCUUUGCUGACGAGUGGCGGACGGGUGAGUAAUGUCUGGGAAACUGCCCGAUGGAGGGGGAUAACUACUGGAAACGGUAGCUAAUACCGCAUAACGUCGCAAGACCAAAGAGGGGGACCUUCGGGCCUCUUGCCAUCGGAUGUGCCCAGAUGGGAUUAGCUAGUAGGCGGGGUAACGGCCCACCUAGGCGACGAUCUCUAGCUGGUCUGAGAGGAUGACCAG
Molecule: ribosomal RNA, 310 nt
Filed under: Escherichia marmotae
Lineage: Bacteria; Pseudomonadati; Pseudomonadota; Gammaproteobacteria; Enterobacterales; Enterobacteriaceae
Description: bacterial SSU rRNA
Rfam family: Bacterial small subunit ribosomal RNA
Source: RNAcentral